CCAGACUCCUACGGGAGGCAGCAGUGAGGAAUAUUGGUCAAUGGGCGCGAGCCUGAACCAGCCAAGUCGCGUGAGGGAAGACGGUCCUAUGGAUUGUAAACCUCUUUUGUCGGGGAGCAAAGGACGCCACGUGUGGCGUUCCGAGAGUACCCGAAGAAAAAGCAUCGGCUAACUCCGUGCCAGCAGCCGCGGUAAUACGGCGGAUGCGCGCGUUAUCCGGAUUUAUUGGGUUUAAAGGGUGCGUAGGCGGAGUUUUAAGUCAGGGGUAAAAGGUCCGGGCUCAACCCGGGCCGGGCGUUGAAACUGGGGAUCUUGAGUGGGCGAGAAGUAUGCGGAAUGCGUGGUGUAGCGGUGAAAUGCAUAGAUAUCACGCAGAACUCCGAUUGCGAAGGCAG
RNAcentral lists this ribosomal RNA (395 nucleotides) under uncultured bacterium. Its description in RNAcentral is "bacterial SSU rRNA". It matches the Rfam family "Bacterial small subunit ribosomal RNA", at positions 331 to 724 of the family's 1533-position model. The record is from RNAcentral.